This 877-nucleotide ribosomal RNA is filed under the name uncultured eukaryote. Its description in RNAcentral is "SSU rRNA". It matches the Rfam family "Eukaryotic small subunit ribosomal RNA", at positions 636 to 1469 of the family's 1831-position model. The record is from RNAcentral.
CGGUGUUCAACUGGCGUGUCCGCGGGACGUCCUGCCGGUGGGCUUAGCCCGCAAGGGCGGCCCAACUUCAAAUCCCAUCGCGGUGCUCUUCACUGAGUGUCGAGGUGGGCCGGCACGUUUACUUUGAACAAAUUAGAGUGCUUAAAGCAGGCUAAAACUUCGCCUGAAUACUGUGUGCAUGGAAUAAUGGAAUAGGACCUCGGUUCUAUUUUGUUGGUUUUCGGAACCCCGAGGUAAUGAUUAAUAGGAACGGAUGGGGGCAUUCGUAUUGCGACGUUAGAGGUGAAAUUCUUGGAUCGUCGCAAGACGGACAGAAGCGAAAGCAUUUGCCAAAAACGCUUUCAUUGAUCAAGAACGAAGGUUAGAGGUUCGAAGGCGAUCAGAUACCGCCCUAGUUCUAACCAUAAACGAUGCCAGCUAGCGAUCCGUCGACGUUCCUCCGAUGACUCGACGGGCAGCUUCCGGGAAACCAAAGCUUUUGGGUUCCGGGGGAAGUAUGGUUGCAAAGCUGAAACUUAAAGGAAUUGACGGAAGGGCACCGCCAGGAGUGGAGCCUGCGGCUUAAUUUGACUCAACACGGGAAACCUCACCAGGCCCGGACACCGGAAGGAUUGACAGAUUGAGAGCUCUUUCUUGAUUCGGUGGGUGGUGGUGCAUGGCCGUUCUUAGUUGGUGGAGCGAUUUGUCUGGUUAAUUCCGAUAACGAACGAGACUCUAGCCUGCUAACUAGGCGUAUUUUCGACAUCUCAAAGGUCCGUCGUCCCGGCCCUCGGGUCGUGGGCGUGCGCGAUUUUUACUGUCGGCGUACUAUCAAUUCUUCUUAGAGGGACAGGUGGCUUCUAGCCGCACGAGAUUGAGCAAUAACAGGUCUGUGAUG